Molecule: non-coding RNA, 5281 nt
Organism: Ictidomys tridecemlineatus (thirteen-lined ground squirrel)
Lineage: Eukaryota; Metazoa; Chordata; Mammalia; Rodentia; Sciuridae
Source: RefSeq, a predicted model, not a curated record
CUUAUCUACUCUUGAUGUUUAAAUUAGCCUUCAAAUGCUUUUGGGAGAUCAGAGACAAAGAUUGACACCUGGUCUACCUUGGCACCUCUGCUCAGUAAAAUCAACAGGUGACACAGCCUUUGUGGUCCGGACCCUGCAACACGCGCAUUUCACACCACCCUGGAGGCGAUGCUUCCCGAAGAAGCCAGGGUGGUGGGGCGCCUGCACAGAGGGGCUCUGGUUUCCCUGGUGGAGACCCCUGUACUGUGGGAGGCGAGCGGGAGUUCUGGCCAUGGACUAGGGUGCAGUGAAAGUGGAACCAUGCACACUGCCCAUAGCUGGACAGUCAAACGCCGGGUCUUGGCGGGCUGGGUGGAGUCCAAAGUGCCCCCUCUCGGGCAUGUGGAAUGCAAACUCCUAGGAGGAGGGGAGGAUCCUGGAGGCCCCUGGGGCGUGAUGGAAAGAACCACAGACAGAGGGGUCUGGAAAGGUGGGUCUUUCCCAGUGGAGACCCCUGUGGGGUGCAGGUGGCAGCUGAUUGGACAGGAUGGCCCUGGCUUUAACCUUCCAAUUCCCUUCCAGUGUCCUCCCCGGGAAUCCCCCUGUCCUGCCCCACCAGUGUAGCAGGUAGAUGUUCCUGAGCAAACCAUCUCCUCUCCAGCCUUAGGAUCCUCUGCACUUCCCUGGAAUUAACCUGAGUGCCCGGUCCAGUGCACAGGGUUGCCAGAGGGUCACAUUGAGCUACUCAGUGACUUACUUUUAAUGACCAUGAAACCUUCUGGGCUUGAGUGUUUAUGGGAGACUUCCCAGGCAUCCGUGUUUGCUCAUUUUAACCUUGAUUCUCUACUGUUCUUACUGUACAUUUUUCUUAUCCAUUUAUGAUACUAAAUGUAUUAUCUAGAAGAAAACAAAGAAAGCAAGAGAGACAAUUUGCAGCUCAAUUAACAAAAGAAUUCUAUUUUUUUUCCCUCAAUUGUUUACUUCAAUGCCAAACAUUUCUCGGACCUGAGUAUUUGAGGUAUGUAUGACUUUCCUUUCUUGAUGUCAGCCAAAUCAGAAGGACAGCAGGGUUAGCCAACUUGGGAUCAGGUUCUUUAGCUCCAGAGUGACUCAGGAAUGCUGCUCACCCUGCCUGGCCCUCAUCUUUCAGUCUUACAGUGAAGGUGAAGUUAACCUAUUUCACCUGAUCCCUGGAAGGAAAGGAGAAAGGUCUCCAUUGCUUAAUCGUAAGAGAAGAGCUCUCUAAGUACCUGGUGACCAUGGCAAUUUUGGAGAGGAGUCACCUUCAUGAGAGUAGUUUUUCUGAUGUCUUGAUUCCAAAGUCUUCUCCAGGCUUCUGUUGGCUCGUGUAGACUCCACUAUUGCAGGAGAGAAGGGAGCGGCUGCACUAGGUCACACUGAAUUUGAGCUGGGCGAGAGUGAGGCCUGGGGUCCUGCUACAGAACCAUCAUCAUGGGGGACCUAUGAGGAAGACCAGGCCCGGAGGUCAGGCCUGCGCUGCCGUCUCACUUGCCUCCAUCUUCAACUCUUCCGUGUCCUUCGGAGGUCUGUGGGGACAGUGUAUACAGGAAUUCUGACAAUUUAAGAGACUAUUUCAACUGCCAAAGUCAACCUAAUGUAAUCAGAAGUCACCUGGAAACUGAUGGGUAAGUGGAUGACAAGUAAGACUUUAGCUAAGGAGUAUGAUUAUAUUUUAGGCCAGUAACUCCUCGAAGAAGAAAAUUUGUAAAUACUAGGUAAAAUGUUAGGCAAAUGAUUUAAAUUGCCUCCUUUUCCACUUUAAUGACUCACCCACCAACUCUGCCUGACUAUGACGCAAGCAAGCGAAUGUGAAGCUACUUGCAGACUUCCUAGUAACAGACCUUCCCACCUGGUGGGAUCGACCCUCUUGCUCUGUGGAGUAUUGCUAUUUCAUGAGCAUUUUAGUCUAUCCUGUGAUUUUUAACUAUUAGUUUCUCGUUUCCCCCAGUGGUAUUGCAUAUCUCAUUAACUACACAGACGUAAUGUACACAUGCACAUGAUCCAUGUGCAUAAAUAAUUUCAUAUGCAGCACACAUAUGGUAAUUGUGUAAGAAUAAAUGGUUCUGGAGACCAUUUUUGAUAAAGACUGGUUCCAGCGCCCUGACCUGACCUUUUGAGUCUGACAUGUGGUUCCAUUUCUACCGCCCUCACCCACUUUGAGGCCUUGGCUUGCUCUGUAUUGCUCUUGUCUGUGAUGACACUUGUGUUUUUUUUUUUUUUUAAUUCCUCUUUGGCUGCUGUUCACUGUUAUAGACUGCUUCCCAAAUAAAUCUCAAGUGACCCCCUGUGUGAGUGCGUGUCCCUAUCUCAGGUCACCAAAAGCCUGGCCUUGUGAGAUCUGAUGCAUGUCGUCUAGGGCUGUGAUUUCCAUCCUGUGUGUGAGGAGCCUUUGCUACACACAGCUCAGGUCACCGUCACUUCACGGAGUGCUCCUGUCUCUUUCACUGACCUUUGCAUUAUUGUCUGUGUUUAGGAAGGUGCUGAUCCCGCCUUCUUUAUCAGGUGGCUUGAAUUGAAUUUUUAAACGUGAGUUGCUGCAGAUCCUUCUGAAAUAUGUUUAACAGUCACUAAUAGGGCAUUAUGUAAAAAUGUGGAUGUGUAACCGAUGUGAUUCUGCAACUUGUAUUUGGGGUAAAAAUGGGAGUUCAUAACCCACUUGAAUCAAAUGUAUGAAAGAUGAUAUGUCAAGAGCUUUGUAAUGUUUUGAACAUCCAAUAAAAAAAGUGAAAUAUGUUUAAAUUUUACAUGGGCAAACAUGUAUUUUCUAACCUGAAAUAUAUAAACAUUUUUAAAGAACAUUUCCCCUCUUUUAUAAACAAUGAACACCCCCCCAACAUACACAUCCCUUGUAUUGCUUAAACACUGUGUAACGUUUGAUUGUACAUUUGUUUUAUUUAUUGAUUUAUAUGGUAUUUACUAAGCACCAGUAAAUAAUGAGCACUUAUUGAGGUUUAAGUGCCAUAUACUUAGCCUACCUGUCUUACUUCAUCUAUAUUUGGGAGGUGCAUUGCCUCAGAGUAAAGCUGCCUACUUUUGCUGUCUCCUUGAAACUAUUUAAAUCCACAAUUUCCCCUGAUGAUAGGAGAACUUUUGUGACUGUAUUUGAAAAUUUUAGUUGAUAAAUUUACUUUCAGUGACUUGAAAAUAAAGUCCAUUUCUUUCUUCCUUUUCCCCUAAGCAUUGUGUCUACACCUGAAUUCACAGUUAGAGGCAGAAAAUAAACGUCUUUGCAGGAAGUGAUUCCAAUUCCAUCUCCACCUCUUCAGCUGGAGGCCAGAAGGGAGAGCGCAGGACACAGUGUGGAGUGUGUACUCUUGUUGGCUGUGGUUUAUUGACAAGGACACUGAUUCCACCACGGAAACCACUAAACCACAGCGUCAUCUCUGAGGUUGCCUGAGGUGGCCAGAUAUCAGAGCCAAGAGGUCAGUGAUACUGAUGGGACUGUUGGUCAACUGAGUGCACAAACGUCAGCCUAGGGUGGAGGAAGACCUGGGAGAGCCCAGGUGGAGGCUGUGGCUGGAGAUGGGUGAUACCACCGGUAAUCAGUGCCGAGUCCUGCUCCCCACAUGUUGACACUAGAGAAGCACGCCAAGGCAAGUGUAUAAAGCAGGGUUCACUUUAAAAGGGGUAACACAGACUUCCCCUGGGACGAAGAAGGGGGCCAUAGCUGGAUCCUGGUGUCCCCAGAAGUGAGGGAUUCUGCCUUUUUAUAUCCCAGGCUUCCUUUGUCCUCCUGCUCUCUUCCCCUCACCUCUCUCCUCCCUGUGCAUGUGACUAGGCCCAGGAGAUGCUCAGUGGGUGGCCAAAGGGUGAGAAGCAGAUGGAAGGGGAAGGGCCAGAUGGAGCAGCCCUGGGCACUAACAACUUUAUAACUCCCUGUAGGGAGGGACAUUCUGGGACAGGUUACCUUAGCCACAGGUUGGAGCCCCACGGGUUAUCUUGACGGGGUGGAGGAAGGGCUCUGAAGGCAUUUCAGUCCCUCAGGGGACAGUCUCCAACUUCCUGGACUCACUCAAAUUGGCCUCCUUGAUCCGACCUGACUCGGUUUACCUGUCUAUACCGACAGCCUAAUUCUGGCUUCGCUGGGACUGACUCACCAUGAGGAGACCCUUGAUCUGGAGGGAUCAACUGACCUUGGCAAGGGCCAUCCCUCGAGCUGCCUGUUAACAUGGAAUGCCAACCCCCCUACAGUGCUCAUCAAGUACACCCUGAGUCUCAGCGUCACUGAGUGACGCACUGGCACACGCCAGAUACAGUGGUGUUUUAUGCCUGUGGAACAUUGACAAAAUAAUAGCAUUAUUGUGUUAGAAGAGAAAGCUACACUUGGUGGCCUGACGGAUUGAUUCCUUCAAUAAAGAUGAACACCUGUUGGCCUAGUAAAAUGAAAGGGGCUUGGAAGAGGACAGAGAACAAGCUUUCUGUACCUUCUGCAACUGCGUGGGCCUAGCCAGCAACUGAGCCCUGGAGAGGACUGGUGCUGACCAGGGGCAAAGAGGAUCCUCUGGCCUCACAUUCAGGCCUGGAUCGUGGCACCUGAGGACGUGUGGUGGAGGAGAAGGGCUUCCGUUGUGGGCCAGCACUUGCUCCUGAGAGCCACAGAGAGGAGCUCAGUGCCUUUGCUGGAGAAGGCCUGCGCUGGACAAGAUGGUGCUGCCUGCCCGGGAGGAAGGCUCAGUUACAGCUGUCCAUGGUGCUCACCCGUUUUCCUGCUCUGGUCUUUCUUUUUGGACUUGGGCUCUCCCUGUAGUUUUAAGCUGCCUGGCCUUUGUCCUUGUCCCGGACCCCAUCACACUGGUCAAGUCUCUAGUGUUCUGGGUGAUUGACAAUCUUGCCCUGCUUGGUUCUCUUCUGGGCAGACUCCACUUUCUCCUGCUCUGACUCUUCCCCGCAGUGGGAGCCCUCUGGGAUGCAUGGUCCUGCCUGGGUCUCCAGUGGAGGCCUUGGAUUUUCUUUCUGGUCAAAAGAGAAACCUGUCCUUUUGAGAACGAUUAAAAUGCUCCAGUUUUUUCAAAUUUAAAUGAGUGCCUGAAAAUAGCUUUGUGGUUAUUUGACGGCAGGGGGACCCAAAAGCAGCUCGUGACCUCCUCAUAAUCACGAACACUGAGACAGGCCACUUUUGCAACCUGCUGUUCUCUAGGGUGAUGAAAUAUCUGACUCCAAGUCCUACAAUAUCCUUUUCAAUCAGGAUAUCUGAGAUUUUAUUUAUAUACAGAAGUGUCAGUUCAAACAUUAAAAAUGUAAGAAAUCUCAAAUUGCUUAGAUUUCUACAUAUUCUUCAUUG